Molecule: small nuclear RNA, 107 nt
Organism: Hyaena hyaena (striped hyena)
Lineage: Eukaryota; Metazoa; Chordata; Mammalia; Carnivora; Hyaenidae
Source: RefSeq, a predicted model, not a curated record
GUGCUCACUUCAGCAGCACCCAUACUAAAAUUGGAACUACACAGAGAUGAUAAGCAUGGGCCCUGUGCAAGGAUCACACGCAAAUUCAUGAAGUGUUCCGUAUUUUC